This 490-nucleotide ribosomal RNA is filed under the name uncultured bacterium. RNAcentral describes it as "bacterial SSU rRNA". It matches the Rfam family "Bacterial small subunit ribosomal RNA", at positions 40 to 507 of the family's 1533-position model. The record is from RNAcentral.
CGGCGUGGAUUAGGCAUGCAAGUCGAACGGAACUUUUAGCUUUUUCGAAUGAUGAGUGGCGAAAGGGUGAGUAACGCGUGGGCAACCUGCCCUAAGGUGGGGAUAACCUGUCGAAAGACGGGCUAAUACCGCUUAAGCUUCCGGACUGAGAUGUUCGGAAGGAUAGAUGGGGAUCUCUUCGGAGACCUGUCGCCUUUGGAUGGGCCCGCGUCCUAUCAGCUAGUUGGUGAGGUAAUGGCUCACCAAGGCUAAGACGGGUAGCUGGUCUGAGAGGAUGGUCAGCCACACUGGGACUGAGACACUGCCCAGACACCUACGGGUGGCUGCAGUCGAGAAUCUUCCGCAAUGGGGGCAACCCUGACGGAGCGACGCCGCGUGUAGGAUGAAGGUCUUCGGAUUGUAAACUACUGUCAGCAGGGAAGAAUAGGCGCUUGGUUAAUAACCAGGCGUUUUGACGGUACCUGCAGAGGAAGCCACGGCUAACUUCGUG